CUCCACUGCUGCCUCACGGGGGUAAUACACUCCACUGCUGCCUCACGGGGUAAUACACUCCACUGCUGCCUCACAGGGGUAAUACACUCCACUGCUGCCUCACGGGGGUAAUACACUCCACUGCUGCCUCACGGGGGUAAUACACUCCACUGCUGCCUCACGGGGCUAAUACACUCCACUGCUACUCUACCUUCCGUGAUCCAUACAAAGCCCUUCCCCGCCAUCCCUUCGGCAAAUCUGACCACGGCGCCAUCUUGCUCCUAUGGUCUUAAAGGUAGAAACUCAAACAGGAUGUACCAGUGACUAGAACCAUUCAACGCUGGUCUGACCAAUCGGAAUCCCUCCUUCAAGAUUGUUUGAUCACGCAGACUGGGAUAUGUUCCGGUCAGCCUCAGAGAACAACAUUGAUCUAUACGCUGACUCUGUGAGUGAGUUUAUAAGGAAGUGCAUUGGAGAUGUUGUACCCACUGUGACCAUUAAAACCUACCCUAACCAGAAACCGUGGCUGGAUGGCGGCAUUUGUGCAAAACUGAAAGCGCGAACCACCACAUUUAACCAUAGAAAGAGGUCUGGGAAUAUGGCUGAAUAUAAACAAUGCAGUUAUUCCCUCCGCAAGGCAAUCAAACAAGCGAAAUGCCGGUACAGGGACAAAGAUGAGUUGCAAUUCAACGGCUCAGACAGAAGACGUAUGUGGCAGGGCCUACAGGAAAUCAUGGACUGCAAAAAGAAAACCAGCUCUGUCACGGACACCGACGUCAUGCUUCCAGACAAACUAAACACCUUCGUUGCCCGCUUUGAGGAUAUACAGUGCCAACGUUGAGGCCCGCUAUCAAGGACUGAGCCCCCCCUUUCCUUCUCUGUGGCCGACGUGAGUAAAACAUUUAAACGUGUUAACCCUGCUGGCACAGACGGCAUCCUUAGCCGCGUUUUCAGAGCAUGGGCAGACCAGCUGGCUGGUGUGUUUACAGACAUAUUCAAUUGCUCCCUGUCCCAGUCUGCUGUCCCCACAUGCUUCAAGAUGGCCACCAUUGUUCCUGUACCCAAGAAGGCAAAGAUAACUGAACAAAAUGACUACUGCUCCGUAGCACUCACUUCUGUCAUCAUGACGUGCUGAGAGACUAGUCAAGGAUCAUAUCACCUCCACCUUACCUGUCACCCUAGACCCACUUCAGUUUGCAUACCACCCAAAUAGGUCCACAGACAAUGCAAUUGCCAUCACACUGCACACUGCACACUGCACACUGCACACUGCCCUAUCCCAUCUGAACAAGAGGAAUACCUAUGUAAGAAUGCUGUUCAUUGACUACAGCUCAGCAUUCAACACCAUAGUACCAUUCAAGCUCAUCAUCAAGCUGGAGGCCCUGGGUCUCAACCCCUGUGCAUUUGGGUCCUGGACGUUCUGACGGGCCUCCCCCAGGUGGUGAAGGUAGGAAACAACAUCUCCACUUCGCUGACCGUCUUACGGGCACUCGGAGUGUAGUGUCAGGAAAACAACUUCUCACUCAACGUCAACAAAACAAAGGAGAUGAUCGUGGACUUCAGGAAACAGCAGAGGGAGCAUCCCCCUAUCCACAUCGAAAGGACAGUAGUGGAGAAGGUAGAAAGUUUUAAGUUCCUCAGCGUACACAUCACAGACAAACUGAAAUGGUCCACCCACACAGACAGUGUGGUGAAGAAGGCGCCACAGCAUCUCUUCAACCUCAGGAGGCUGAAGAAAUUUGGCUUGUCAUCCAACACCCUGACAAACUUUUACAGAUACACAAUCGAGAGCAUCCUGUCGGGCUGUAUCACAGCCUGGUACGGCAACUGCACCGUCCUCAACCGCAAGGCUCUCCAGAGGGUAGUGAGGUCUGCACAACUCAUCACCGGGGCAAACUACCUGCCCUCCAUGACUCCUACAGCGCCCAAUGUCACAGGAAGGCCAAAAAGAUCAUCAAGGACAUCAACCACCUGAGCCACUGCCUGUUCACCCCGCUAUCAUCCAGAAGGCGAGGUCAGUACAGGUGCAUCAAAGCAGGGACCGAGAGACUAAAAAACAGCUUCUAUCUCAAGGCCAUCAGACUGCUAAACAGCAAUGACUAACUCAGAGAGGCUGCUGCCUACAUUGAGACCCAAUCACUGGCCACUUUAACAAUGGAUCACGAGCCACUUUAAAUAAUGGCAGUUUAAUAAUGUUAACAUAUCUUACAUUACUCAUAUCACAUGUACACACUGUAUUCUAUACCAUCUAUUGCACGUUGUCUCUGCCGCUCGGCUAUCGCUCAUCCACAUAUUUAUAUGUGCAUAUUCUCAUUCACCCCUUUUUUGUAUUAGGUAGUUGUUUGGGAAUUGUUAGAUUACUUGUUAGAUAUUACUGCACAAGCAUUUCGCAUUAACAUCUGCUAACCAUGUGUAUGUGACCAAUAAAAUUGGACUUGAUUCAUACAGUACACAUGUCAGUCUUACAGUUUCAUUCUCCUUGUACAGUACAUAUGUCAGUCUUACAGUUUCAUUCUCCUUGUACAGUACAUAUGUCAGUCUUAAUGUUUCAUUCUCCUUGUACAGUACAUAUGUCAGUCUUAAUGUUUCAUUCUCCUUGUACAGUACAUAUGUCAGUCUUAAUGUUUCAUUCUCCUUGUACAGUACAUAUGUCAGUCUUAAUGUUUCAUUCUCCUUGUACAGUACAUAUGUCAGUCUUAAUGUUUCAUUCUCCUUGUACAGUACAUAUGUCAGUCUUACUGUUUCAUUCUCCUUGUACAGUACAUAUGUCAGUCUUAAUGUCUCAUUCUCCUUGUACAGUACAUAUGUCAGUCUUACUGUUUCAUUCUCCUUGUACAGUACAUGUGUAGAUGAUCAGAUAUAUGGGGUAUUGUAAUGCAGUAGGAUACAGUUAUAACGUCCUGGUGUAGUCUGUAGUCUGGUGUAGCUAUUUCUGCCCCAUGCAACACUGUUUUCCUGUGUGAGUCGUCAACUGAUAUGGUAUCGCCUGUCUCUCCGCUUGAAAUUCAUCAGUGUAUCAAUGAAAUCUGGAUAAUGAGUAGAAUAUAUUGUUGUAUUCAACUCGGGUAUAAAUAUAUUGUUAUAUACAACCCAGGUAUAAAUAUAUUGUAAUAUACAACUCAGGUAUAAAUAUAUUGCUAUACUGUAACGGUUUUCUAGUGGUGAUGAAGGAGAGUCGGACCAAACUGCAGCGUGUCGAUUGAGAUUCAUGUUUAAUCAAACAAAGAAACACGAACACUACACAAAACAAUAAACGUAAUCGAAACCGAAACAGCCUAUCUAGUGCAAACUAACCGAGAGUACACAUAGGACACUAAGGACAAUCACCCACG
Long non-coding RNA from Oncorhynchus tshawytscha (Chinook salmon), 3311 nucleotides. The record is from Ensembl. NCBI's taxonomy places the organism in Eukaryota, Metazoa, Chordata, Actinopteri, Salmoniformes, Salmonidae.